UAAAAGAAACAUUCGGCACCAGGGGCAGGUCAAGGCGAGGCAGUCACGUGGCUGGCUCCCUGGCCAAUGCGGGGCUCAGGGAGGACUGAGCACCCGCCUUGCCCCAACACCAGGCUCGCUUCUUCAGCUCAUAUAAGGUAAAAGGCAGCAAGGCCUCCGUGGCCAGAGAGCCACGGGCAAGGGGCUGAGUAGAGGGGGGUCCGAUGGCAGUUGCUUAAAAAUGCCCCCGUAGCAUCAAGAGGUGCCAGCCGAGUCAACUUAGGUGAGAAGCAGUGACACCCACAACCAUACCCCAAACAGGGUGAGCCUCUGAAGAGUCAUCCCUGGGCCAGACAACAGCCAAGGCAAGAAUGAUGGCUAGUAGGCUCCUGCCCGCCCCCCUACACUCGAGAAUGAAGAGCCUGUGAGAGAAAUUUUCCCAAGAAGUAGAAAAGGCAUGGCGGUGGAAGCCCUGUUCCCAGAACUAACUGUAAGUGUUCCUUCCUUCCAUAUUCCCACAAACACCCUAACUCCGGGAGCUCUAAGAAUAACCUGGGACCCUCAGACAAGUCCCCCUUCCCAAUGCUCAAAAUGCUCAGGAAACCAAGCCUGGGAAUCUCAAAAAGCACAGCCAUAGGGCCGCCUUUCGGUAACGCUGGAGGCUGGGAUGGAGGCAGAAAAGAGGGAAGCAAAGAAGAGGGGACCCAACAGGUGUGAGAACCCUUCCCAUCCCACUCCAUUCCCUUCACACAGCAACAGGAAAGUGGGCUUGGCUUAAGGAAGACACAGACAACAGUAUUCUUCCUUAGAGAUGGAAGAACUUUGUAGGAGGGGUACCCGGGGCUCUGGGCAAGGACGAUGAUAUUGCUAACAGCAGCACCUAGGGAUGGAGGUGAUGCUUCAGGCCUGCUGGGCUUUGAGUGUGCAGAUUCCUGUAUUCGGUAGGACACAGGAAAGAGCUGGAGAGGGUGGGGGUGCUCCAUAAAACAGGGAGGGAAACUGGGGUCCAGAAGGGAGGCGCACACUUCAGAUUGCAAGGUCAGGAAGUAUAGAGAAGUCUGGCCCAGAUUGAUCAAGGAUGGGAUAAACAGGAAGAACUGGGGGCAAGAGAAGGGAAAGAUGGAAGCCAGGUCAGCAGAAAGGAACUAUUCUAUGGUUGGGCGACAAGGCUUAUGUAACACAGCCCACCUGUUCACCCCUGUGUAGCCUCCACAUGUGUGCGAACGAAGUGCACCCCCAAAACAGCUCACACCCUGUCUUCACUUGUGAGCAAAUGAGCUGCAAGAGACCGUUGUAAACAAAUUGGAUUAGGAGGCUGCAGGCGCGACCCUCUGGCAGACAAGAAGCAGGCCUGUAGGGUGGCCAGCUGCACUCUCUCUGGCAUGGGGACAGUCAGCCCUGAGCCCCCAACCCCUCCCCCACCCAGCCCCAGGAAGGAGCCAUGGAGAAGAUGCCAGGAUGAUGGAUGGGGUGAGGGAGGUUCCAGGGCCGGCCUGAGAGCACACAGGAUGUUAGUGCUUGUGGGAGGCACAUUUCUGAGCUCUUCCCAGCAGCCCACCCUUCCACCCCCAUGAGCUCCCCUCUGCAGCCUCUCCCACGGUCACUGCUGCUGGCCUGGGACUUGGGCCUAGCCUGAGGUUCCAAGCCGAGUCCAGGGCCUGGGCCCUGCGCACAUCUGCCCCCUAGGUCCCGCAGCUGGACUGAGGGGAAACAGCUGAGGAAGCAGCGGCACAGGGAGACACUGGAAGCCACUUUAGAGGGCAGAAGGGACCUGGGAGCAAAGUAACAAAGCCAACUCCCUGCUUUCUUGCCCAUUGCUUCAAUUGAUCCUCAGAGCGGGCUGCCAAGCUGGAGUUGGAAGCGGGGUACUGCUGUGAGCAGCAAGACUUAUUUAUUCAGGGCUUCCACACAUCCUCCUCUGAUGCUCAUCUGCACCAGGCCCUGUGUCACAUGCUGAGGGCACCCAGGAAACAGCUAUUGUGCAUGUCUGAUGGAACCGUUCCCCUUAGUCAUGUUGUGGAGCAUUAGGGCUUGCCUGGUUUCCCAGGGGGUACACCUCCAAUACAAUGAACUUUCUAUGGAGCACGUGCAAUGGCUCAAUUUGCCCCUUUAUGCUGCGUCAAUGCAAUCAGCCCACUCAGAACCCUGAUGCCAGAUACCAGGCCCUGAUACCAGACAGCCUUGCGUUAAAUCCUACCGCAUUUCCUGUUCGGUUACAUAGUUGUCCUUAGCCUCUCUGGACCUGUUUUCCCUUCUGCAAAAUGGGGGAGCAAUUGCUCUCACCCCAUAGGGCUGAUUGAGUACUUCUCUUCCAUACUCUCAUGUUAUACAGAGAGAAUCAGAGGCCUCUGAAGAAAAGGACUCUGAGGUGGGAGUGAAGUUUGGACCAGGCUGUUCCCUUCAACCCAGUAUUAUUCCUCCCACCUGCUACAAAACAAUCAGAGGCCGAGAUGGCUGCUCAGUUUGUAUAGGUGAUUCCCAGGAUACGUGCUAGACCUUGCCUGCCUUCUCAGUAGCAGCCCAGGUGACCAGUGGUGGCCCUCAGUUCUCUGAGUGGUGACUGAGGUGAGGAAUGACAGGCAGAGUUCCUAGCUCAGAGCAGCCUUGCCAUAUAAGGGCAGGAGCCACAGAGCGUCCUGCCUGGGCCUGAGACUAUCCAGACAACCACUGUUUAUUUUCUGCUUCAGCCUCCCCUCCUUUCACCCCUCCCAGGAGCUUCCCAACAGACAGAAGCCAGAGAGUCCCUAGCCUAGAGACAUUUUCUGAAGACCUGUGGAAAAGGAAAAAAAGCGGGCUGUCCCCUGCAGCAUGCCUCCAAGGGGCCGAGAGACAACACCUAGAGCACCAGGUAAGACCCAGAGUCUGCCUGGUCCAGCCACCUCUUUAAUGGAAUGGGGACCCAAGUCCCAGAGAUGACAGGACUGACUGGAGAAGGGGCCUAGAUCCCCAAGCCUCUCCCAUCUUCUGAUGGCACCACAGGGUAAAAGAGUCUUUCUUGGGGUAAAUGAUGUAGAAAGGCUACAUACCUCUUCUCAGGGAAGCCCAACUUGAGGGAGGAAGGAGGUGGGGAGGGUUGUCCAGACAAGCUCUGCUUACCAGCCCAGCACAUGUAUAUGUAUAUUUCCGGGACCAUCGAGCCACAGGGCGCACCUUCCUGCCCCACAGCCCCUCCCCACCAUCCUAGUCCCCACCCCAACUCUUCCAAGAUGCCUUUUGAGCCAUCCAGGGGGCAGUGGAAGGAACCUCCCUGGCCACAAGCGCCUGGCAGUCCUCUCAAGGGCUCUCAGGAGUUCUGCUGGGUCUGCCCCCAUGCCCUGCUCAGGUGCUUUCCUCCCCCUCAACCUCGUAUGCCCUGUAAGGAUAGUACUGAGGCUGUGUUAGCCAUGAGUGUAUAGACAUAAUCCCCGAGCACACAGAAGUGAUGCUAGGUCUGCUGAAUGAGCUAGCACGACUAUGAGAGCCUAUCCCAAACCCAGAAGACUAAGAAAUUGAGACCUCAGGCAUGGGGGGUUAGUUAAGGUGAGGGGCCAGGCCCUGCUGCUAUGAGUGAAGAAACCCAGCACAGUGCCUUGUACUCUUACCACAGGGAAAUUCUAUUUCUCUGGAGCCUUGAAGACAUAUGGGGAUACAUGCAUUUAAACAUUCACCAGAUUGAUUAUUCGAGAGCCAUAGGGACAGAACUAGACAGUCUUUAUCCAAGGAUGGGAUGAGGAAGAAUGCCUGCCUCUCAGUACUACCUGGCCAUUUACUUCUCCUUAAGAUGGACCACCUUCUGUCCAGGUCCCAUGGCACACCCAGAAGAUAUAAAAUCUUUGCUGUGCUCUUCUUUAUCCCAAGGUGGGACAGCAAUGGCUCUCAGUUCCCCUCUCUGAACAUGUAUCUGCAAGUCUAGAAUGCCUGCCCUCCCCCACUCUUGGUCCUCCAUCCAAGGUGAUCUUUUCCAGGCCCGCAAGCUGUCCAGAAGGUAGAACAGGCUCUGGCAUCCUGCCCCAAACCUAGCCAUCAGAUGUCCUGUUUUUAACUUUUGUCUGCAGUUGUGUUUUAGAGUGUAAGGUGAAUCUUUUUACAUACCUAAGUAGGAAUACUUACUAUAAAUGGAAAACUGACUCUAUUCGUAGUUUGAAACAAUGGUGUGAGAACACAGCCUCAGUGCCACACUGUAGACUGCUUCUGUGGCUUGCCAGGCCCCAAGCUAGGCUUUCCUCCCCAUACGUAGGACCCCAGGUUGCCAGGCAUUGUGGCACAUGCCUGUAAUCCCAGAAUUCCAGAAGUGGAGGAUCAAGAACUCUAAACACUGAAUGAGUUUGAGGGUAGCCUGAUCUACUUGCAUCUCUGUUUCUGGAAAGCAAAAAGAAGAGAGAGAGAGCAAAAGAAAGGAGAAUAAAGGGGAGAGGAGAGACAACCCAAAUGGCGUGUCAUCAAAUGACUCCCACAAUCUCUCACUCUUGCUGCCCCCAGAAAGCCAAGGUGGCAUAGGCCAAAGGGCUUUGGGCACAGUCACACCCUGGGGAAGGCAGGGGCUCAGUGUGGUCCCUAGCAGCCUAGCUGUGCUAUGUCCAGCCAUCCCUCCUAACUAAUUACUGGAAUGUCCCUCAGUCAGGUUCAAUGAUGCCUCUCCCAUGGUCCAUGGGAGCUGUGGGGAAUGGAGUAGAGAGGACAGGGUGUUGUGACUUCUAGAGAAUCCCAUGUUCGGAUCUCCUGGUAAAGGGACUGUGGAAAUUUUUCGAGAGCUCUAGACAGAAAGAAUUUGGCUAUUGGCUGGGGACGCCUGAGGGCAGAAGUACCCUGGCUUUAGUGACAAAUCAGAGAACAUUUUCCCACUGCUCCUGCACCCCACUCCCAACUUGGGUUGCUGCUAGAUUCUUGUUGGAGGCCUAGGAGCUAUGGGGUUUCUGAAAAACGGAGGUGGACUUUUUUUUUUUUCCUGUCCUUUCCCAGCCAGGAGAAAAGGCUGCCUCUCCCUUCAGACAACCCCCAAAGUAUGUCAUCCAGCAUCAAGGCCACCACAGUCACCAUGAAGCAAGGGUCUUCUGGGGACCCUGGAAUCUUGGCAAAAGCAGGGUGAGUGCCCACAGAAGAAAAUGAAUUAUCCAUGUGGCCACUCAGUCAGUCACUACAUGUCAUCUACUAUGUCUGUUGUCAUGUGCAAAGUUAUCAGCAGUAUCUAGGGACCCCAAAUGAUAACAUAUGGGCCCUGACCUCAGGCAACUGGAAAGGUAAGUAGGGAUGGCCCAGAAAUGAAACACCCUGAGGCCCCGUAGUACCAGGUAGCUUGCAAGCCGUCUACUCAAGCAGCAUUCAUCAUGGCCACGAUUUGGGGGCUGAGGGAAUCCAGCAGGCUCCUUUUCCUCAUGAAGGAAGGUGUUCACAAAAGAAAACUGUACCUCAAGGGUUGAGAAGAAACAGAGUUCAGAGGAUGGGCAAGAACAUGAAGGUGUCCUGGGGUCUAAAGAAGUGAGGGUUGGUUUCUCACCAGUGGUCGUUUGCCCAGAGUCCAUUCAGAGAUGGGUGGGGGACAAGAGCAAGAACCAAAGGUAAGAGGACACAGAGGGUUUAUUUAAUAAGUGCAAGGCCACGGGUUCCAUUCCCAGCCCUGCAGAGAAAAAAAAAAUCAACUGUACACUUUAAAUGGAUGGACUCUACCUCAAGAAAGCUAACUUAAAAAGAGAAAGGGAAUGAAGAUGGAGAUUUCAGUCGCAGAGGGCUCCAGGGCAAGGGAAGAACAGGUGGGAGGCAGGCCACUACACAUGCUCACACUCCUUUUCCUGCCCAGGAAGCCAGCCGCAGCCCCAGUGCGCAUGUGCGCGGAGCGUCUGUCUCCCAGCCUGAGGUGCAGUGCUGCAUCUCUGGUCAGUUGGGAGUCUGAGAUGAAGCACUGUAGCUCAGGAAGGGAGAAGUUGUUCUGCAGCCAUCACCAGGACGUGGUAAGUGUUGAUGUGGGGUAGCAGGCCCGGAUAGGUUAGACUCCACUCCAGCAGUCCAUGGUGAUAUUCCUUGGCUCAAGCUGCACCAGUGCUGACCACUCAUGUGCACCUGUAACUGUACACUCUGGUCCAUUCGGUGGCAGCGGUACUGACACGUAGAAGACAGUGCUAAUGUAAAAAGAUAUGGCUCCUUUAAGAAACUCUGUCGUACAUCUAUCCAUUCUGAAGGGGUUCCAACACACCCUCAGAAUCCAUCUCAACACUGCAGACUCAAAUACCCACUAUAAAUGAUUCUUGACUGAAACCCAUUGAAUCCCUGUAGAUCAUCAGACAAUCCCUAACAGCUCUUCCAUCCCAGAGGUAGUGUCCCAGGGUCCUGGCAGCCCAACACUGUCAUGCUGCAGCAUCAAAAUGUUGCACAUUCCUGUUAGGCGUGGAGUCACAGUCUUCACUCUUUGACCCUCUAACUCUGCCUCUGUGCUAUUGCCUAAACUAGCCAAGGCAUUUCACAAAUGUCUACCCUGGCCCAGAGGCUUCAGAGAAGCAAGGGGCAGCAGAUGAGCACCACAGAGGAAGGUGACCCACUUCACAGGUGAGAAAACUAAGCCUUAGUUAAGUGGCUGACCUUAGGUCACAUAUGGACAUGCUGGGGUCCACCUUCUUAUCCACUGUGAGACUGUGGAUAAACCCCAGUCUGCUAUGGUAACAGAGGCAGGACCACACACUUCUAAGAGUCCCGUGGUCUCUCUUCAUGCUAUCUCCUCACCCAGUAGGUGCUAUUUGAUGCCACUUUACAAGCAAGGUGCAGAGUUCAAGUUACCUGCCGGAAGCCAACAAUGAGAAAGUUGCCAGAGCCUAGGAACUAUCCUCGUGCAAACUGGUUUAAACUCAUCCUCCUGGCCAGAGCACUGUGGCCUGUGGCAAUGGGGGGGAAGGAACUGGUCCCAGAUGUUUUCUGAUCAAUUCUGGUAAACAAAGGCUGCCUUUGACCACAUGGAAGGUACUUCCCAAGCCACUCCAAGCUUUAGUCGCUCUUCCCAGGGCAGGAAGCUGCACCCUGGGAGUCGCAGCACCCCACACUGGCUGCCAGAGCUCAGCUCUGGCUGGAUGCAGAGAAAAACUGUUGGUCCCUAGAGGUGUGGCAAGUGCUGAAGGCCUCUCUCUCCCACCUUGUCCUCACGGUCCAGUUUUCCCAGGAAUCCCUUGGAUGCUAAGAUGGGGAUUCCUGGAAAUACUGUUCUUGAGGUCAUGGCCUAACAGCUGGAGCUGCCUCCUUCCCACCCUGGCAUUUCCUGUCUGGGAUGCGGGAGGAGAAGGCGGUACACUGGAGGUAAGAGGCCUCGGGAGAUCCCUUCUGACCUUUGCAUUGCUUUUCUUUCCACUGUGCCCGUAUUUCAUAACAUCCCCGGGAGGCUGGAUGUGGGAACCUCAGAACCGCCUCACUCUUGAGAAACUUGUCCCAAGUCGCAGUGGUUGAAGCAGGACCUUGAGGCAGCCUUUCCUCCACUCGAACCCUCCGCGUUCCUUCCCUGCCGGAGGAAAGGAGGCGCCAUAGGUCCAUAUCCACAUUACUAGGAAAAUCAUACACAAAUUUAUUUCAAAAUUUUAUUAAAUCUGUUGUAUAAACUAACAGAUAAACCCUUCAUCUCGGUUGGAUUCAGAGCACAGCAGCCACAGGAAACAGCUUUCGAGGUAGAAAAAUACAAGUUUGUAGCGCCCCCCGGUGGUAUUUCUGCCCACUUCAGGAACAGUGCGAUUUCCCCAUACACUGCGCAGGAGCCUCUGCAGCCUGCCUUCCUGUUUCUACACACUUCUACCAAAAUUCUUUCUGCCCAGUCACUUUUGAGUGGACAUGCUUAAAACUUAUUAAUCUCCUGCCAGAGAUGCUUCUGCGUCUUACAGUUGGCUUUUCUUUAGGCCCAAACCAGGGCAAGUCCACCUAGACAGCAAAAGGCAGAGGAGAGAUAGAGUUCAAGUUCCAUGGCCCCUAGCAUUGAAUGUCUGAGCCAAAAGGAAAAGUAGGGCCAAGUACUCCUCCCUUAUAGCUCCCUGCUCCCCAACUCUUUAAUUUUCCUUAAAUUUCUGCUGUGCCAGUCCAGUCUAUACAGUGAGUUCCAGGACAGCCAGAGUUACAUAGUGCUUGCUACAUGUCUCUGCAUAGUAAGACCCUGUCUCAAAAAAAAAAAAACAAAAAAAAACUAGAGCCAGGUUGUCUGUAGAGUGAUUGCUUACAGUGUGUGAAUCCCUGGGUUCCAUGCCUAGCACUUGUGCAAAUCAGGUGUGGUGGUACAUGCCUGUAAUCCCAGCACACGGCAGGAAGAUCAAACAUGCACAGUCAUCCUUGGAUAAAUAGUGAGUUUGAGGCCAUUCUGGGCUUACAUGAGACCCUAUCUUGAGAGCAAAAACUAAAAAAUGAAAAAUAAAAAGGCCACCUUUCCAGUUGCAUGUAUGGAAUGGUGACUGGAUGGAUGUCAAAAUCCUUGAUGGAAUCCAGGUAUAAAACUAGAACUUGGGCUGGGAAGAUGAGAUGGCUUACCAUUAAAGCCCACCCAAAUCAAACCGGAACCCACGUGACAGAAGGAGAAAAGUGACUCCUGAAAAUUGUCCUCUAACCUCCAUGUGUCUGGCAUGCUGUGUGCUGCAAGCAUGCACACGCAUCAUAAAAAGAAAUAAGUGUGAAGGAAAAACUAGAACUUUGGGGGCUACGGGAUGGCCUAGUCAGUGAAGGUCUGGGUUCAGAUGCCCAGUGCCUAUGCAGAAAGCUAGCUGUAGGUAACAUUUUUUAAUUCCAGUGCUGGUGGGGAGAGAGACGGGAGGACCCUGGAAUUCUGCAGUCAGCCAGUCUGGCCAGAGUUGCUGAGCUCUGGGUUUAGUGAGAAAUACUAUCUCAAAAUCACAAGGUAGAGAGUGACAGAGGACAAUAACCUUGUGCACACAUUCACACACAGAGAGGGG
RNAcentral lists this long non-coding RNA (8858 nucleotides) under Cricetulus griseus (Chinese hamster). RNAcentral describes it as "lncRNA (ENSCGRG00015030309.1)". The stretch from base 7071 to 7156 matches the Rfam family "mir-145 microRNA precursor family". The record is from RNAcentral. Lineage: Eukaryota; Metazoa; Chordata; Mammalia; Rodentia; Cricetidae.